AACGAACGCUGGCGGCAUGCCUAACACAUGCAAGUCGAACGAGACCUUCGGGUCUAGUGGCGCACGGGUGCGUAACGCGUGGGAACCUGCCCUUAGGUUCGGAAUAACUCCCCGAAAGGGGUGCUAAUACCGGAUAAUGUCUUCGGACCAAAGAUUUAUCGCCUUUGGAUGGGCCCGCGUUGGAUUAGCUAGUUGGUAGGGUAAAAGCCUACCAAGGCGACGAUCCAUAGCUGGUCUGAGAGGAUGAUCAGCCACACUGGGACUGAGACACGGCCCAGACUACUGCGGGAGGCAGGAGUGGGGGAUAUUGGACGAUGGGCGGAAGGCUGAACCAGCAAUGCCGCGUGAGUGAUGAUGGCCUUAGGGUUGUAAAGCUCUUUUACCCGGGAUGAUAAUGACGGUACCGGAAGAAUAAGCACCGGCUAACUCCGUG
RNAcentral lists this ribosomal RNA (433 nucleotides) under uncultured bacterium. Its description in RNAcentral is "partial 16S ribosomal RNA". It matches the Rfam family "Bacterial small subunit ribosomal RNA", at positions 29 to 507 of the family's 1533-position model. The record is from RNAcentral.